This 182-nucleotide non-coding RNA is filed under the name Clostridium simiarum. RNAcentral's name for it is "Clostridium sp. MSJ-4 6S RNA". It matches the Rfam family "6S / SsrS RNA". Rfam says of the family: E. coli 6S RNA was the first non coding RNA to be sequenced, but its function was unknown until recently. The record is from RNAcentral. Lineage: Bacteria; Bacillati; Bacillota; Clostridia; Eubacteriales; Clostridiaceae.
AAAUUCCUGUUUUGCGCGUUUGUGAGCAUAUAUUGCUCCAACAUCUAGAUGAUAGGGAGCCUUUCUCUUUUAGUAGAAUGAAAUUCAUGUUUUUAUGAAAUACAAGAAGCUAAAAGGAGGACACCCACUUUGGUUGAACUGGGUUCAAUCAUAGGCUCAUUGAACGGCAAGAUGGGAUUUCU